UUCCACUAAGCUUCUUAACAAAAUUGCUGACUGGUGAUUUUUACUCGUGUGCCCUAUAUCUGAGUAGAAUAAUAGUAAGACGAUGACGAAACAAAUUUUCAACAUUUCUUGAAAAUGGAAUGCCCAUGCCAGAGAUCAUACACUGCCGUUCUAUGUAGUAUCUAUGUAUAUUAAUGGUGGCUAAAGCGAGUUCCUUAUCGUUUACACUUUGCAAUAUUAUCUGUGUCUUCGCAAUACCUGUGUGAAGAAAGAAGAUGUAGGCAAUCAGAUGGAAGAGGUUUUCCGAGGACGAAGAUCGGCCUGAGAAGCCUAGAAGGUUCGGUGUUACCGAGAUGAGAGGCCCCAUUACACCUGUUAAGCCAAAACCUCUUUCAGUUUGUUGAUUGGUUGAAGUUUACCCGGAGGCUCUCAUAGUUUGACGCGGAAUGAUUUCAUUAAAGAUGUGACAAACAUGGCCCACAAACACAAUGUAUAUGUCAGUACAGGUGACUGGUGGGCUGAACAUUUACUUUGCAAAGGUCCAUCUGCAUUCAAAGAAUACAUAGAGGUGUGACAAUAUAAGUUCUAAUCUUUUUCUUAGUGACUACUUGCCGAAUCCCUUGGCACUGAAUUGUGUGUGUGUUGUGUUUUUCCUUUUUAAUGUCAUUGUUCGAGGAAUGUAAGCAACUGGGAUUUGAUACAGUUGAGAUUAAUGUGGGGUCACUUGGAGUUCCUGAAGAAACUCUCUUGAGAUUUGUGCGGUUCAUUAAGAGUGGUGGCCUGAAAGCCAAGCCCCAAUUUUACAGUGAAGUUCAACAGGUCUGAUAUCCCCGCCAAUGGUGACCAAGCAUUUGUUUCUUAUGUGGUCCCAACACCUCGAUCUUCUGAUAAAAUUUAAUUUCCAGAGUGUGGGGAAGUAUGAAACAAAAAAAUUUGUGACUGGAUUGAUAACAUGCUGAGAUGCUGCCUAAUCCUUAUUUUAGGUCAUGGAUUAGGUACAUGUGUUCAGAUGAUCUUGUCGUAUUUUGUAUACAUUGUUAGUAGAAGUAUGCUGAAAAUGUUUUUAUAAUCAUAGGUGGAGUAAAAAAGGUGAUUUAGGUACUUAGAGAACAUGUUUCUGAAAUGCCAUGUGUACUAGCUCAAACAGUGGCUGCAUUUAGAGUUAGCAUCUCACAGAUGAAAAUUGUGUGUGUCAAGAUGGGAUUAACUUUUGUGAUUACCAUAUUCAGUACAUUUUAACAUUGCAAUUUUCAAUACUGUAGAGUGGUUGAUAAAUUGUUGCUUAUUGAGCUUCUACAGCGCCUUGCAUUAGACAAAACACGUGUAUAAUGGGACGUAGAAGGUCCUUGUCCCGGAAACUCUAAGAGAUAAUUAGUCCUCCGUGUUUAAGAACUCCAAGUGAUCCGUGUCAUGGCAUUUUUUUUAUCCUAAAUAUUUACAAUGCAUUUAAAGUUGGCAGGGUGUAAACCUUGAUCAAUUUACACAAAGAUAUUGGGAUGAUAAUUAGUCCUCCUGUCUUUAACAUUUCAAUGUUCCUCUUGUCCAUGGUGAUUUUAUAUCUCGUUUUUCACAUUUCUGUUUGACAUGGGCCGCUAGAGACUGUCAUAGAGUGCCUUAUGUGGUUAUUAAAUGGACUAUGAGUAAGAAAACCACUGAUAUGUAGUGUAUAUUUGGCCUUCUUUACUAUUGGAUGUAUUUUCUAAUGACCUUGUUCAAGUUAUUCAUAUUAGAUUAGCAGAUAGGUUAGAAAAUUUCUGGAGAUAAUAUAUAUAUUUGUCGUUUUUGAAAAACUGUUAACAAUUCUAUUCAUGUUUGCCAAUGCAAGGUUCCAUUCUUUUUAUUUAUUUUAUAUUUAUAAUUCUUUUUUUUUUUUUUUUUCUUGAAGUCUAUUAAUAUCUUUUGUCAUGGGAAAAACUUAUAUACCAUAUAAUUUUAAGCCAUUAUGUAGUGCUGCAUAUAUAUUCGUUAACUUUCUCCGGAUUUGGGACAAGAACCUCACACUUAACAUCAGUCUAACCAUAAACAGACUGAAUCUGUUUUUGGAUUCAACCAGUGAAUGAUCGAUCUUAACCCAAAACUCAUAUAAUUAUUAAACAUGGUCUAGGCCUUACCAAACCCAUAAAAGUAAUAGAUUGAGUUGGAGUGGGUUUCAAAAAAAAAAAAAUUACGACAUAAGAGGCCCGGUAAUUGUCUGGUGCAUGUGGGACGGGGAUAAACAUGCAUUUCAAUAUUCCAGGAUCAGGGUUUUGAGAAUGUUAUUUUAUGUUUUUCACUAGUUCUAGGAGGACUAUAUUCAGUUAAGGCAAUAAAUACUUGAAGAAUUUAAGUCAGAAAAUGAAAACUGUCACUACAAAUGAUGAUAUAUGAUCAAAUUGAAAUUUCUAGAAAAAUUCCAAAGCUAAUUACUCUCUGAGUUUGGGAGUACUAAUUGGUGCCUUGGAAUUGAAUUUUUAUUAUUUUUAUUUUUAUGUGUCAUUGGCAAGAAACUCACACACCACUCACACACCCACUUUGCUCCUUUGGAGACUCGAACUCUCACCAUCCACUUUGAGAGGUAGAGGAGAUACCAUUGGACCACGAGGCCCUUGUUGCGUUGGACUUGAAAUUGAAGAAAGAAAAAUUAGUGCUCCAAAACAUAGAAUUAUUGGUGGAAUUUAGAUCUCCUCUAUCUACCAGGUGAAUACAAUGAUUAAUUCAAAUCUCCUUUACGCGGGCCAAAUGUUUUAAACAUUUCAAGUGUUUGGAUGUCACCUCUUAGUUUCCUUUUCUUACUAUUCAAACACUUGAAAUUUAAAAUUAAAAAAAAAAAAAAUCAUUUUCUUGCUUUUCUAACUUGAAAAAAAGUUUCACGUAUUGCAGGAUUGUUAGGAUAAAUUGGGCUGGUAUUGCAGUCUUUUUAGGACAAACUUGCUUUUGGUUGAACAAUACUAAAAAGUCCAGUUUGAAAAUGACAUGGGCUUCGUGGAGUAGAUAAAGUUUUCUUUUCAUGGGCUCCUAGGUUCUGUAACUGUGUUGCCUAUGAACUUGGUAAAUGGGCUUUCAAUUGUAAGCAAAGUGAUCUUAUUCUUUUUAUGCAGUUAUUCAUGUAUAUUUUGCUGGUUGUCUAUAAAAUUUCUAUUUACUUUGUUAAAAAUAAAUUUUAUUAAUUAAAAUAAAAAAAAUUAAGAAAUUGUAUAGUAGCCUUUCUUUUUUCAUUACAGAAGCUAAAUCAUCGACAUCAGUUCAGAAAAUCUCACUGUACAACCAAUGUAUCACAGCCCAAUGUAAACAUACGGACUAUACAAAGUUUAACAAACACCAACGGGCCAGUAGUCUAGUAGUAUCAACCUCUUACUUCUCAAAGAAAGGUCAGGGGUUCAAGUCUCAGAAGAGACAAGUGUGUGUGAGUACCAAAUAGGGAAGAAAAAAAAAAAAAAAAAAAGUUCAACAAACAAAAACUUAGGCCCAGAGACCCAAAAACAGGCAGACAAUAAUCGAAUUUGGAAUCAGCUGCAUCAAAUGAAGUGUCCUAAAGAUGAUCGAAGACGAUCAUGAUUAAUUUAUCAGAGCUGCGUAUACACUGCCAUUAUAUAUGUAUCUGUGUAUGUAUAUAUAUUAACAAGGAUGACUAGAAUGAGAACCUUAUCGUUCUUUCUUUGCAAUAUUGCCUGUCUCUUGCUAAUUUAUGUGUGAAGAAAGAAGAUGUCGGCAUACAGAUGGAAGAGCUUCUACGAGGACGAAGAUCGCCCCGAAAAUCCCAGAAGGUUCGGUGUCAGCGAGAUGAGAGGCCCCAUUACACUCUCUUAAGCCAAAACCUCCUUCAGGUCUCUCUCUAUGAAGAAGAUGUCCACAUACGGAUGGAAGAGUAUGUACGAGGACGAAGAACGUCUUGAGAAGCCUAGAAGGUACGGUGUUACAGAGAUGAGAGGACCCCCUCACACCCUCUUAAGCCAAGACCUCGUUAAGCUCUCUCUGUGUGUGUGUGUGUGUGUGUGUGUGUGUGUGUGUGUGGCUUUAGCUUCGUGUGUUAAUAAAUUCCUUGUAAUGUCUUUCUCUGAUUAUUCAUCUCUUUAUAAUCCCAUGUCAAGUUUAAGUUUUUAGGGCUUUUAUUUAUAGGUUUGAGAUAGACUCCUUGUUGUUAAGGGUUUCACUAUGAUUAUGAUUAUAUGAUUUAAUCUGAAAAUGGAGAAAUUGAUUUAGUUUAA
Molecule: long non-coding RNA, 4163 nt
Organism: Cornus florida
Lineage: Eukaryota; Viridiplantae; Streptophyta; Magnoliopsida; Cornales; Cornaceae
Exons: 4
Source: RefSeq, a predicted model, not a curated record